Molecule: long non-coding RNA, 550 nt
Organism: Drosophila obscura
Lineage: Eukaryota; Metazoa; Arthropoda; Insecta; Diptera; Drosophilidae
Exons: 3
Source: RefSeq, a predicted model, not a curated record
ACCAAAAUAAAAUUUCGCACAGAUAAGUUUAUUUUUAGAGUAUUGUCGUAUCGGUGCGUUGCUAUCAAGUGAAUGGAUAUAAGAAAGUGCUCCCCAGUGUUGGGGCCCGCCUCAGCUAUUUUACGAGCUGUAUUUCACAUUUUCACAGGUCACCGCCACGCACACAAUCACACAUAGCACGCCACACGCACACGAACAUAAACACAUUUUUGUCCAAGGGAGCGCGACAAUUGCCUGAAGGCCGGCCGGCCUUGUGGGACAUUUUGCAUGAAGAGGAUGCGAAGCGAUGGUCCGGCACUGAAGGAGCAGCAGGAGUAGGAAACCUAAUGAGCGCGUACCGCCCACGCAAUGAAAUGGUCCUCCCCACACACACACACACUGGUCAAUUUUGGGCUGCUGUACCGGAUCUCCGGGGGCAUAUCUGUCAGAAGGCGCUGAGCGCGAAGCAGGAGGAUGGACUCUCUGUGAUGUGCAGAUGGAGCAGCGCGAGAGCAGGCACUGAGAAUAAAAAAAUAAAAAUAAAAACUAUAGCACAAUUUGGAACAAGUGG